Larimichthys crocea (large yellow croaker) is the source of this 556-nucleotide long non-coding RNA. RefSeq lists it as uncharacterized. NCBI's taxonomy places the organism in Eukaryota, Metazoa, Chordata, Actinopteri, Sciaenidae. The record is from RefSeq and is a predicted model, not a curated record. The transcript is spliced from 5 exons.
CCCAACACGUCUUCUAUACGGCUCUGGAUUCAGUCUGACGGACACAACCAAGACUUCUUCGUCUCCCCCAGCGUUGAACAGCGUAUUUAAACACUGAAGACAUAAGACUGAAGGUUGCUUGAAAGGCAUGGCAGACCAAGGAGCGUUUAAAUACAGCCCAAGAAGAGGUGCUCCUAGUUUUACAUCUCUGCCAGACUAUGAGCCAAGCUGGCAUCCUCUCAAGCCUCGGGUCCAUCUGACAGAUGAAAUCCUUGAUUAUGGAGGAACAAUCUACCCUCUUCUGGCAACCGUGACCAAGUUAAAGAGGCUUUACUUUCUGGGAGAGAUGACAGGCCCAGAAUAGACAGGACUUCAACCCAAAAACCUAAAGACAUCCUAUUGGGAAAUGAGGAUAAAGACUCAGAUAAGGACCCAGCUGUUCUCUUUGUAUCUGCUUGGCGAACUGACUGGCACAAGGAUCACAUGGCAGUAAUAAGUAGCAUGAAGUUUGACAGCCUCCUGAAGAUGUGUCCUGAUUUCCAUGACUCUAAGAGCCACAUGGCAGCAUUUGUCCUGA